Long non-coding RNA from Portunus trituberculatus (swimming crab), 1298 nucleotides. RefSeq lists it as uncharacterized. The record is from RefSeq and is a predicted model, not a curated record. NCBI's taxonomy places the organism in Eukaryota, Metazoa, Arthropoda, Malacostraca, Decapoda, Portunidae. The transcript is spliced from 2 exons.
UAAUGGCCACAGUCUUCACUAUUUUAAUCCCCCACAUGAGUUUCUGAAGGUGUAGAAAAUCACCAAAUAGUCACCAGAAUGAAUAGGGAAACUCGUCAUGGUGCUGAAGGGGUGAAAGACUGCUAUGUGUUGAUCUUGAUCCUGCUGCUACCCGAACCUUGCCUUGCCUUGCCUUGCCCUGCCCUGCCCUGCCCUGCCCUGCCCUGCCCUGCCCUGCCCUGCCCUGCCCUGCCUUGCCUUGCCUGCCUGCCCUGCCCUGCCCUGCCCUGCCCUGCCCUGCCUUGCCUUGCCUUGCCCUGCCUUGCCUUGCCUUGCCUUGCUACCAAACCAAUCCUAACUUUACCUAACCUAACCUUACCUUACUCUAACUUAACCAAUCCCAAAGUAACCUAACUAACCUUAUAUAACCUAACCUUACCUAACUUUCCCUUCCUUUCUCAUCCCUUUCCUUCUCUUCUCUUCUCUUCUCUUCUCUUUCCUUCCCUUCUUGAUCUUGAUCCUACUACAUAACCUAACCUAACCCUACUGUACUCUAGCAUACCCCUCCCGUCCCUUCCUGUCCCUUCUUGACUUUGAACCUACUGCUAACCUAGUGUGUUGCCGAGCAGGGUGGGUAGAAUUUGAUAGGAAAGUCAAGAAAUUGUUAUCUUUGUCUUAAUGGAUAUCUCGGCCCUAUGUGUGGGUAGGGCUGCCAAUAGUACUAAUUAACCCCUUCAUGACAUGUUUUUAUAUUUAUGGUGCGGACCAUUUAACGAUUUUGUUCACCUGUAAAUAAUUGGGCGGAGAUUGAAAUGGCAAAAGACUCAAGCCAUUAACUUUCCCGCCACCAUAGACCCUUGCUAAUGUAAAUGAAAUGGUCAAAUCGUACCCAAAACUCGUGGUAAAAGUGCGGAACAGUCCUAACCUAACACAAAACUUAUGGGGAGGGGAAUAAAUAAAAAAAAUAAUAAAUAAAUAGAAAAAUAAAAUAUGCGUCACAGCCUUAACCUAACCUAACCUAACUUGAACUAACCUUAACCCAACCUAACCUAACCUAACCUAACUAACCUAACCAAAACUCAUGGUAAAAAUGCGUCAGUACUGAAGGGGUUGUGUCCAUGGCCAAGAGAGCAAGAACUAGUGUACCAUUAUUUCUAGGAGUUAGGAAUGCUAUUAAUGCUCAGGUUAGGUAGGUGAGAGAAGGAUAAGGUUAGGAAGGCAAGAACGUAAGAAGAAGGUUAGGAAGGAAAGAAAAUUAUAGGUUAGGAAGGCAAGAAAAUCAGGUUAGGAGGACAAAAAAAAACUAGAAAGGUUAGGAA